UUUCUUAAAAGCAUAAUGUCUUCCAGGUAGCUUUCAAAUGCUGGUCAUUCCUCUGGUUCCGAAACCAUCUUCACCAACUGAGAACAAUCUGUUGCAAACGUCACCCGAAACUGUCUUAAAUUCUUCAUACAUUCCAUUGCCCAAAUUAAUGCCUCAAUCUCCGCAUGAAGAGGAGAGAGACAUGCCCUUACAUUUCUUGCCCCUAAUAACCCGUCAAACCCCGGUAGUGUGCUGAACCAGCCUUGCCCUGAAAAUAAGUCUUUAUCUUUCCAGGAAUCGUCUAUAAAACACCAUCUUCCUGUAGACCCAGAAUUAAGUCUUAUCUGACCCGCUUGUACCAACAUGGUAUCAUUAAUAAUUUGUGCCUCAGCCCAAAGUCUUGAUUCCAAUUCUGCAAAGUUGAGUGUUUCCCUCGGAUCAAUAUCAAGAUUACUGAAAACUUUUUUAUUCCGGCCC
This 456-nucleotide long non-coding RNA is filed under the name Brassica napus (rape). RNAcentral's name for it is "long non-coding RNA (BNAP_LNC010185)". Lineage: Eukaryota; Viridiplantae; Streptophyta; Magnoliopsida; Brassicales; Brassicaceae. The record is from RNAcentral.